This 253-nucleotide ribosomal RNA is filed under the name uncultured bacterium. Its description in RNAcentral is "partial 16S ribosomal RNA". It matches the Rfam family "Bacterial small subunit ribosomal RNA", at positions 524 to 776 of the family's 1533-position model. The record is from RNAcentral.
CACGUAGGGCGCAAGCGUUGUCCGGAAUUAUUGGGCGUAAAGAGCUCGUAGGCGGCCUGUUGCGUCCGCUGUGAAAACUCGGGGCUUAACCCCGAGCCUGCAGUGGAUACGGGCAGACUAGAGGUAGGUAGGGGAGAAUGGAAUUCCCGGUGUAGCGGUGAAAUGCGCAGAUAUCGGGAGGAACACCGGUGGCGAAGGCGGUUCUCUGGGAAUGUCCUGACGCUGAGGAGCGAAAGUGUGGGGAGCGAACAGG